UACGUAGGGUGCAAGCGUUAAUCGGAAUUACUGGGCGUAAAGGGUGCGCAGGCGGUCGUGUGUGUCAGGUGUGAAAUCCCGGGGCUUAACCCCGGAACUGCGCCUGAAACUACAUGACUAGAGCAUUGGAGAGGGUAGCGGAAUUCACGGUGUAGCAGUGAAAUGCGUAGAUAUCGUGAGGAACACCAGAGGCGAAGGCGGCUACCUGGACAAUUGCUGACGCUCAGGCACGAAAGCGUGGGGAGCAAAAGGG
RNAcentral lists this ribosomal RNA (253 nucleotides) under uncultured bacterium. RNAcentral describes it as "partial 16S ribosomal RNA". It matches the Rfam family "Bacterial small subunit ribosomal RNA", at positions 524 to 776 of the family's 1533-position model. The record is from RNAcentral.